Drosophila guanche is the source of this 516-nucleotide long non-coding RNA. RefSeq lists it as uncharacterized. The record is from RefSeq and is a predicted model, not a curated record. The transcript is spliced from 3 exons. NCBI's taxonomy places the organism in Eukaryota, Metazoa, Arthropoda, Insecta, Diptera, Drosophilidae.
AGCACCAAUUUCAUAAGAGCUCAAAGAACUUUAAAUUCAUAAGAAAAUUUCCCAAUUUUGUGAUUAAUAUAGUUUACUUUAAUUGUAUUCAAAGGUUAAUAAUUUGUUUUAAAACUUUUGGCAGCAAAAAUAAAGGACUCAGAGUCCUGUCAUAAGAUGUAACCUUAUGUUCGCAUCUUUCCUGGGGGAUUCAUCUCCACAAAUCUGGCAGGACCCCAAAAUUUGAAGCCUUUUCUUUGAUUACGUAUUAGAAACAUAUUCCUUAACUGUUCCUCAAAGAUUUUCCCUAUGGUUCAUACCUGGGGACUGAGCAAGAGAAAACAUUGCAUAAUAGUCAGUGUUUUAAAACCCCUUAGAGCUCUCUAUCUGGUCUGUUUUGGGUCAUUUCCCUGAUGAAAAGACACAAAUCAACGGCAUUUUCUAUUACAUAUAAGUCAGCAUUAUUGUUUUAUUAUAUAAUAACAAAGACAUGUUGAUUCAUCAUCGAUUUCAGCACGGGUACUAAACCAACUCCAU